CAGCAGCCGCGGUAAAACGGAGGGAGCUAGCGUUGUUCGGAAUCACUGGGCGUAAAGCGCACGUAGGCGGCUAUUCAAGUCAGGGGUGAAAGCCCGGGGCUCAACCCCGGAACUGCCUUUGAAACUAGAUAGCUUGAAUCUUGGAGAGGCGAGUGGAAUUCCGAGUGUAGAGGUGAAAUUCGUAGAUAUUCGGAAGAACACCAGUGGCGAAGGCGACAUACUGGCUCAUUACUGACGCUGAGGCUCGAAAGCGUGGGGAGCAAACAGGAUUAGAUACCCGCGUAGUCCCUGUCUCUUAUAC
RNAcentral lists this ribosomal RNA (301 nucleotides) under uncultured bacterium. RNAcentral describes it as "partial 16S ribosomal RNA". It matches the Rfam family "Bacterial small subunit ribosomal RNA", at positions 509 to 807 of the family's 1533-position model. The record is from RNAcentral.